UGGGGAAUAUUGCACAAUGGGCGCAAGCCUGAUGCAGCCAUGCCGCGUGUGUGAAGAAGGCCUUCGGGUUGUAAAGCACUUUCAGCGAGGAGGAAGGUGGUGAGCUUAAUACGCUCAUCAAUUGACGUUACUCGCAGAAGAAGCACCGGCUAACUCCGUGCCAGCAGCCGCGGUAAUACGGAGGGUGCAAGCGUUAAUCGGAAUUACUGGGCGUAAAGCGCACGCAGGCGGUUUGUUAAGUCAGAUGUGAAAUCCCCGGGCUCAACCUGGGAACUGCAUUUGAAACUGGCAAGCUAGAGUCUCGUAGAGGGGGGUAGAAUUCCAGGUGUAGCGGUGAAAUGCGUAGAGAUCUGGAGGAAUACCGGUGGCGAAGGCGGCCCCCUGGACGAAGACUGACGCUCAGGUGCGAAAAGCGUGGGGAGCAAAACAGGAUUAGAUACCCUGGUAGUCCACGCUGUAAAACGAUGUCGAUUUUGGAGGUUGUGCCCCUUGAGGCGUGGCUUCCGGAGCUAACGCGUU
Molecule: ribosomal RNA, 519 nt
Filed under: uncultured bacterium
Lineage: Bacteria
Description: partial 16S ribosomal RNA
Rfam family: Bacterial small subunit ribosomal RNA
Source: RNAcentral